This 472-nucleotide ribosomal RNA is filed under the name Diplocarpon mespili. RNAcentral describes it as "eukaryotic LSU rRNA". The stretch from base 155 to 308 matches the Rfam family "5.8S ribosomal RNA". The record is from RNAcentral. Lineage: Eukaryota; Fungi; Ascomycota; Leotiomycetes; Helotiales; Drepanopezizaceae.
CCGCCCGCGCGCCCGGACCUCUCACCCUUGCCUACCCUACCUUCGUUGCUUUGGCGAGGCGCCCGUCGGCCAGCGGCUCCGGCUGCUGCGUCCUCGCCAGAGGCACCAAAACGCUCUUGUUCGUGAAUGUCUGAGUACGAUAUACAAUCGUGAAAACUUUCAACAACGGAUCUCUUGGCUCUGGCAUCGAUGAAGAACGCAGCGAAAUGCGAUAAGUAAUGUGAAUUGCAGAAUUCAGUGAAUCAUCGAAUCUUUGAACGCACAUUGCGCCCCUUGGUAUUCCGAGGGGCAUGCCUGUCCGAGCGUCAUUAACAACCACUCAAGCCUGCGCUUGGUCUUGGGGUACCCGGCUCCCGGGGCUCUUAAAAUCAGUGGCGGCGCCGGCGGGCCCUGCGCGUAGUAACUCCUCUCGCGUCUGGGCUCCGUCGGCCGCUAGCUAGCAACCCCCCCCUUUCUCGGUGACCUCGGAUCA